AUUACCGCGGCUGCUGGGUAACUAGCUGUCGCGUAUAGAUGGGUCCACGUCCCACCAGGUAGUUGGCGAGGUAACGGCUCACCAAGCCUAAGACGGGUAGCUGGCCUUAGCGGGUGGUCAGCCACACGGGGACUGAGACACGGCCCCGACUCCUACGGGAGGCAGCAGUGGGGAAUAUUGGGCAAUGGGCGAAAGCCUGACCCAGCGACGCCGCGUGGGGGAUGAAGUCUCUUGGGACGUAAAACCCUUUCGACGGGGAAGAAAACCGCAAGGUUUGACGGUACCUGUAGAAGAAGG
This 297-nucleotide ribosomal RNA is filed under the name uncultured Bacillota bacterium. RNAcentral describes it as "uncultured Firmicutes bacterium partial 16S ribosomal RNA". It matches the Rfam family "Bacterial small subunit ribosomal RNA", at positions 190 to 491 of the family's 1533-position model. Lineage: Bacteria; Bacillati; Bacillota. The record is from RNAcentral.